Non-coding RNA from Podarcis lilfordi (Lilford's wall lizard), 71 nucleotides. Lineage: Eukaryota; Metazoa; Chordata; Lepidosauria; Squamata; Lacertidae. The record is from the annotation of a GenBank genome assembly.
GGGCCAAAGCUCAGUGGUAGAGUAUCUGACUUGCAAGCAGACGGUCCCAGGUUCAAUCCCUGGCAUCUCCA